RNAcentral lists this microRNA precursor (161 nucleotides) under Oryza brachyantha (malo sina). Its description in RNAcentral is "MIR812 microRNA precursor family". It matches the Rfam family "MIR812 microRNA precursor family", at positions 27 to 187 of the family's 205-position model. The record is from Rfam by way of RNAcentral. Lineage: Eukaryota; Viridiplantae; Streptophyta; Magnoliopsida; Poales; Poaceae.
UAUAAUAUUUUGACUCUUCGUCUUAUUUAAAAUUUUUUUGCGAUUAAUAUUUUUAUUUUUACUAGAUGAUACAAUAUGAAUACUUUAUGCGUGACUAAUUUUUUUAAAAUUUUUUACAAAUUUUAUAAAUAAGACAAAUGAUCAAAUGUUCGGCACGAAAA